Molecule: non-coding RNA, 69 nt
Filed under: uncultured Succiniclasticum sp.
Lineage: Bacteria; Bacillati; Bacillota; Negativicutes; Acidaminococcales; Acidaminococcaceae
Description: Glycine riboswitch
Rfam family: Glycine riboswitch aptamer
About the family: This family represents the bacterial glycine riboswitch. Glycine riboswitches usually consist of two metabolite-binding aptamers domains with similar structures in tandem.
Source: RNAcentral
GGAUCCGGGAGAGCCGCCUGGCGGCGCCGAAGGGGUAAUCGCGUAAACUCUCAGGUUUCAGGACCGGAU